UUUCCAAUUCUCUUUACCUCUCUUUCUGAUUCAUUAACCUUAAUUCAGUUUUCUUAGUCUGACAUCUCUGAAACAUCCAUCUCUCUGGUCUCUGGAAUCGCCUCUCUCUCUCUCUGUCGCUCAAAAAUACUCUCUCGUUUGCCUUUUCGCACGCACACGAGCACCUCGGAAGCAAUGAUGACAAACAGCAACAAUUUAGAGAGAAGAAAACGCAAGAAAAGAGGAUACAGAGAACUAUCUAGGGUUUUAUCCCAUUUUUUUAUUUUUAUUUUUUUUGGUGUCUACCUCUUUCUCCGUCCUCCAUGGCUCCGACAGUGGAUUACAUAUCAUCGACGAGAACCGCCUGGAUUACCAAUUCAUGACACCCAAAGGCUAACGGACCACUAUCAUUACAUCAAAGAGACCAUCUUUCACAUGAAACAUCUCUACAAGCUUACCCCGUUUCUGUCUCGUUGGACCAUUGGAUCACUACCAUCACACCUUUUUCCAUACAGUAGAUAUAUCAGAAGUUACUUGAAAAUAGCAGAUGAAAGCCAAGCAACCAAGAAGAAACGAGGAAGGAAACAAAAGUUUUGUUGAAGGUUACUCCAUUCAAGAAAAACUUCCAAAAGUGAGGUAGUGGGACUUAGACUGAAAUAACUAUAUAAAAGGGCACCUAAAAGGAGAAGGAGAAGAAGAAGAAUUCAGUGUUAGACCAGAGUUUUUGCAGUGAGAUUGAAGAAAAAGUUGAGUAGAAUGAAUUUAACAAAGGCCAAGAUGAUGGGAAUGAUUCAGAUUCUUCCAAUUAUUCAAAUGAAAACCAGCAGUAGAGCAAAACCAAUUCUCUCAACACGACAUGGCGUCAAAGUUACAGGUUGCUCUCUGCCUUUUCUCUUUUUUUCUUUGUUGAGUUUCAUGUAUGUCUUAGUUAGUGAUACAUAUUUUCAAUCUCUAUUUCAUGUGUUUCUUUGAUUAAUGUGAUUUGAAAGAUUUGUUUCUUCAGGAAAAAUAAACAUAAAUGAUUAAAUAUUUUUGUCUUGCAUACUCUUUAAGCUCUUGCAAUGCUAGACUUGAAGAAAGUGAAAAAAUAAAAAUAAAAAUUGUAAUGAUAGGGAUAAUAUCUAAAUCCACAUUUGAUCAUAGGGAAAAUGAAAUAGUGGAUGAAUUUGAUUUUUGACAUGACUAUAAAUUCUCAAAUAAUGUUAAAUGUGCCUCGAAGUUUUUUUACUCUAAUAUGAUUUUAUUUUCAUUUUUAUUGUUCUGUAUUCUUGUCUAAUGGUCAUGUCUUGACAUGAAUAAAAUAGUCAUGAAAUUUAAAAUUUAUAGGUUCAUGUAUAUUUAGACAACAACGAUUAUGGGCAUGCACAUAUCCUUUUAUGAAAAAACAGCCCAAGAGUUUUUUUAUGUUGAUACCCAUACUCAAAAAGAAAAGAAAAUACUUAAAGAAGGUGAAUAUUAUUUCCUAACUAAAAUUAACAAAGUCCAGGCAUUCUUAGUAUAUAUUAUGAUAACGUCGCAAAUCAUUCAUGAACCUGAUAUUUUUAAUACUUUACUCUUGUUACUUUAAUUGCACAUUUCUUCCUCAUUAUCGUUCUUGUAUUUUCUUUGCUUUUAUGCUUUUAAUGUUUUAAAAAACAGACUCAUUCUUUGUUUGUAAUUUGUAUAUAUGUGCAAGAAUGCAAUUGAUAGGUGGUGGUUCUAAAAAUAUGUAGGCCUCAAUAGUGCAUCAAAACUCUUGGUAUGUCUUCUUUGUUUGGUGUCAUUGAUGUUACUCAAUUUUUACAUUUUUCUUUUUUAAUUAAGAUGUUAAAUAAAAAUAUUGCUGCUUUUUUUUUUUUUUUGCUUGUCCUUUUAGAACAUCCCUCCCAAGUUUCAUUCAAUGAUGUGAAAUCCAAGAAAACAAGUUGUGUGUUUGGAAAGUGAUUCUCGAAUUUGGGACCUAGUAUUUCAGGACUAACAAUUUAUCUUUUUGCUUUUGAGCAUAAGCAACCAGAAAAUUUGUAGUCGUUGGUCUUUGGGUAUCGUUUUGUCGGCUACAUAUUUUGUACAGGCCAAUCACAGUUCAACGCGUGGCAGGAUGAGGGUAAUGCAGGAAGACAAUUCAAAUAUUCAAUCGUAAUCAGACACAUGGCAGUUAGUAUUGGUUAUUGUGGAUCUGUAUAGCACUGGAUCAGUAAAGAGAUGCAAGAUGACGUGGCUUUAACAGUUACUCGUAUAUUUAAAUUCAAAAUCAAGAGGGAAGCCUAACUGCAGACAUGGCGUAGUGGAGCUAACUGUGAGGAAACAUGAUCAGUGAUCAUGGAGGGAUGAUUCAACGGUUAGAAACUCAUUUCGACGGUUAUCAUUGAGAAGUAUAAAUAGUAGAGAAGGCCCCAGAAAGAGGCCCCAGACUCAGAUCCAAAGAACCAAUUUUUAUCUACUUUAUUUCCCUUCCAGUUUACAUUUCUUGUUCAUUACAUUUUCUGUACUUGAAAUUCCUACACUGCACUUCGUUCAUAGGAGUAGUUUUAAGUAAUUUGUUGCAGCAAACCUCUACGAGGCUGUAAUUUGUUGUUGCAAACCUCUACGAGGCUGAAUUGGAUCAUUGUAAGUUCUUCAUUUUUAC
Molecule: non-coding RNA, 2584 nt
Organism: Camellia sinensis
Lineage: Eukaryota; Viridiplantae; Streptophyta; Magnoliopsida; Ericales; Theaceae
Source: RefSeq, a predicted model, not a curated record